GGCGGACGGGUGAGUAUCGCGUAGGGAUUUAUCGUUGGGUGGGGGAUAACCUUGGGAAACUGGGGCUAAUACCGCAUGACGCCUGUGGGCCAAAGCAGCAAUGCGCCUGAUGAGGAGCCUGCGUCCGAUUAGCUUGUUGGUGGGGUAAAGGCCUACCAAGGCUGCGAUCGGUAGCUGGUCUGAGAGGAUGAUCAGCCACACUGGGACUGAGACACGGCCCAGACUCCUACGGGAGGCAGCAGUGGGGAAUAUUGGACAAUGGGCGCAAGCCUGAUCCAGCAAUGCCGCGUGGAUGAAGAAGGUUUUCGGAUUGUAAAGUCCUUUCGGCGGGGACGAUGAUGACGGUACCCGCAGAAGAGCCCCGGCUAACUUCGUGCCAGCAGCCGCGGUAAUACGAAGGGGGCUAGCGUUGCUCGGA
RNAcentral lists this ribosomal RNA (418 nucleotides) under uncultured Alphaproteobacteria bacterium. Its description in RNAcentral is "bacterial SSU rRNA". It matches the Rfam family "Bacterial small subunit ribosomal RNA", at positions 97 to 549 of the family's 1533-position model. The record is from RNAcentral. Lineage: Bacteria; Pseudomonadati; Pseudomonadota; Alphaproteobacteria.